AACUGAAACAUCUAAGUACCUGCAGGAGAAGAAAACAAAAGUGAUUCCCCCAGUAGCGGCGAGCGACCGGGGAAAAGCCCAAACCGUUAUUGUUUCGGCAUUAACGGGGUAGUAGGACUGCAAGCUUGAUGAAAUAAAUGAAAUGGAACACCUUGGAAAAUGUGAUCACAGAGGGUGAUAAUCCCGUACAUGCAAGUUUAUGAAUCAUAGCAGACUCCUGAGUAAGUCGGGACACGUGUAAUCCUGACCGAAUCCGCCGGGACCAUCCGGCAAGGCUAAAUACUCCUGAGAGACCGAUAGUGAACCAGUACCGUGAGGGAAAGGUGAAAAGCACUUCGAACAGAAGAGUGAAAUAGUCCCUGAACCCAUACGCCUACAAGCUGUCGGAGCCGCUUCGUGCGGUGACGGCGUGCCUUUUGCAUAAUGAGCCUACGAGUUACUCAUCACCAGCGAGGUUAAGUACUUCAGGUACGUAAGCCGAAGCGAAAGCGAGUCUGAAUAGGGCGUCAAGUUGGUGGUGGUAGACGCGAAACCUUAGUGAUCUACCCAUGGGCAGGGUGAAGGUUUGGUAACACAAACUGGAGGCCCGAACCGGUAAACGUUGAAAAGUUUUCGGAUGACCUGUGGGUAGGGGUGAAAGGCCAAUCAAACUGGGAAAUAGCUCGUACUCUCCGAAAUGCAUUUAGGUGCAGCCUCUGUUGUUUUGUUCUAGAGGUAGAGCUACUGAUUGGAUGCGAGGGCUUCACCGCCUAUCAAAUCCGGCCAAACUCCGAAUGCUAGAACAUGAAGACAGGGAGUGAGCCAGCGGGUGCUAAGGUCCGUUGACGAAAGAGGGAGAACUCAGACCAUCAGCUAAGGUCCCCAAUUGUAUGCUAAGUUGGAAUUAAAACGGGGUGGGACUGCUUAGACAGCUAGGAUGUUGGCUUGGAAGCAGCCAUUCAUUUAAAGAGUGCGUAACAGCUCACUAGUCGAGCGGUCCUGCAUGGAUAAUACGCGGGCAUAAGCAUAUAACCGAAGCUAUGGGAUUGUAGAUGAUACAAUCGGUAGGAGAGCAUUCCAUUCAGCGUAGAAGCAGUAGCGUGAGGUAUUGUGGAGCGGAUGGAAAAGCAAAUGUAGGCAUAAGUAACGAUAAUGCGGGUGAGAACCCCGCACGCCGAAAGAUCAAGGAUUCCCCGGCAAUGUCAAUCAUCCGGGGGUAAGUCGGAUCCUAAGGGUAAGCCGAGUGGCGAUCCCGAUGGCAAACAGGUUAAUAUUCCUGUACUGAUCAUAACUGCGAUGCAGCGACGCAGAGGUGACACUGCUGCGUACUGACGGAAUAGUACGUUGAAACCCGUAUUCUUUGAUACCGGUAGUGAAGCACGCCGGUAGAGAUGAAAGGUGAUAGUACCGCAAUGCUUCGGUUGCGCGGAUAACGCAGGUAAGCUGACUGCCAAGAAAACCUGCUAAGCUUCAGGUAAUGAUCAUCCGUACUGUAAACGGACACACGUGAUCAGGUAGAAAAUACUAAGGCGCUCGAGAGAUUCAUGGUUAAGGAACUAGGCAAAAUGGUCCUGUAACUUCGGGAUAAAGGACGCUCUUGUGAAAGAGCCGCAGAUAAUAGGCCCAGGCGACUGUUUACCAAAAACACAUGGCUAUGCUAAUUCGCAAGAAGAUGUAUAUGGCCUGACACCUGCCCGGUGCCGGAAGGUUAAGAGGAGAGCUCAGAGGCAACUCGAAGGUUUGAAUUGAAGCCCCGGUAAACGGCGGCCGUAACUAUAACGGUCCUAAGGUAGCGAAAUUCCUUGUCGGGUAAGUUC
Molecule: ribosomal RNA, 1796 nt
Filed under: human gut metagenome
Description: bacterial LSU rRNA
Rfam family: Bacterial large subunit ribosomal RNA
Source: RNAcentral